This 442-nucleotide ribosomal RNA is filed under the name uncultured bacterium. RNAcentral describes it as "partial 16S ribosomal RNA". It matches the Rfam family "Bacterial small subunit ribosomal RNA", at positions 338 to 795 of the family's 1533-position model. The record is from RNAcentral.
CCUACGGGGGGCAGCAGUAGGGAAUUUUUCACAAUGGGCGAAAGCCUGAUGGAGCAACGCCGCGUGCAGGAUGAAGGCCUUCGGGUUGUAAACUGCUUUUAUAAGCGAGAAAUAUGAUGGUAACUUAUGAAUAAGGAUCGGCUAACUACGUGCCAGCAGCCGCGGUCAUACGUAGGAUCCGAGCAUUAUCCGGAGUGACUGGGUGUAAAGAGUUGCGUAGGUGGCAUAAUAAGUAGCUAGUGAAAUCGGGUGGCUCAACCAUUCAGACUAUUAGCUAAACUGUUAAGCUCGAGACCGUUAGGGGUAACUGGAAUGUCUAGUGUAGGAGUGAAAUCCGUAGAUAUUAGAAGGAACACCAAUAGCGUAGGCAGGUUACUGGGACGGUUCUGACACUAAGGCACGAAAGCGUAGGGAGCAAACGGGAUUAGAUACCCGAGUAGUC